AGGAGGGGCAAAGCAGUAAGGAUGAAAUCUUAAUAGCCUAGUGUUGCAGUACCCAGAGCCAAACCCAAAUAUAGAAUAUCACCUCCCCUAAACCCUGAGUGGAAAAGCUCAAAGGAAGAGAAGACACACCUCUACACAACGUUCAUGAGAAGAAGGGAAGGAUGAGUUUUCUUGGACAGCAUUUUCUUGGAAGUAAAGUGUCUGGGUUUCAAGAAAAAGGUUCUGACUCCAAGGACUCUCCAGGAAGCACAUGGAGAAGGUUGCUAAGAAGUAGCAUAGAGCCACAGUAGAAAGUUCUACCGUGGCUUUGCUGGGCACACUUAGGCAAGCUUCCUGCUCCAAUUCCUCCCACCCACCUUGGCACUGACCUGGCCUCCUGCACAAUUUGCUCCCCCAACUCAGAACACAAUGAUCAAUACUGGGAGCAAUUCUGUCCUAAGAGGAGAGUUUGGCAAUGCCCGGCCCCUUCUGCUCAGGUAACUGAAGCCAAAGGGACAUUUCCACAUCAGUUUUCCAAGUUAGUGAACAAACAAACCAAAAUCAAAAAAAAAAAAAAAAAAGAUAUAAAAGAGACAGUACUAUGUACUAGAUUUCUCAAUGUUUCAAAUGCAGUACACUCACUUCUGCCCUCAUACACAUUUCCAGUUACUGGCUGGAAAGGAUCCCACUUCACAGUCAUCCCAGUCAAUAGGCCACUCUGAUCCUGCUCCUAGAUGACCGCAACUGCCACCUCACUGGUCUCCCAACCAUUUGUCACAGAGCACCCAAAGUUACUCAGCUAGACCAAAUAUCUGAACAUGCCUCUCCCCGACUUAAAACCUUUUGCCAGCUCCUCAGCACCUGAACAUAGAGUCCAGUGCUCACCAAGGUCUACCUGGCCUCCCUUCUGUGACUCCAGCCUACUCUCUUGCCACUCCCCACCUGCUAAGCAAUGCCCUGGAGAUGUGUAUACAGGCUCAGAAUAUGCUGCACGCUCUCCUACCACUGGGACUUCACUGUACCAGACAACAGCCUAACCCCAACUAAGGUAAACUCUGCCACCAAACAUGCCUGGGAAUGGAGAAGGGUCUGCAGAUGAGAACCCCUUCUGGUUCUAUGAUUCAAAUCUUCAUUCACUCAAAGCAGGAACCAAAUCCAGUGCUCCUCCAUUGUUGGAAUAAAUGCUCUUUGCCUGAAUGCUAUUUGUGGUCUUCGUAGAAUGGAGAGUAACUGAAGGCCCCACCGGAAAUCAAUUUUAUGUAAGCUUUUCAUUCUCUGGCCUCAAGUAUUUCUAAAAUGUACCUUUCUAUGCAGGCUACUUAUUCAGGCAACUAUUUUCAGGUGAAGAUACUCAAAUGAAAAUAGAGAAUCCCUUUUGGCCUUUUGCUAAUAUUUCAUUUGUCAAAACUUUGAUAGUCUGACAAAGUCUUUACCAUGAGAUUGGUAAACUCACGGAAGCCAAACUGUCUGGGAUGCGACUUCAGCUCCACUACUUACGAACUCCAUAAUAAUGUACCUAGCCUGCCUAUACCUCAGUUUCCCAUCUAUAAAGACAAUAAAAGCACCUAUUUCACUCAUGAGAAUGAACUGAGUUAUUACACGGAAAACUUAAAAACAUAUCCAACAUACCAUAAAUCAACAGUAAAUGUAACUAUUUUUACCAAGAGGUGUCUUCAAAGAGUUUAUUUCUAAUUCAUUACACCAAUUAAUAAGAAAGGCACUUUCUCAUCCUAUUUCACUUUUACAAGGCAGACAUUUUUUUUCAAGACGGAGUCUCACUCUGUCGCCCAGGUUGGA
RNAcentral lists this long non-coding RNA (1776 nucleotides) under Homo sapiens (human). RNAcentral's name for it is "HSALNT0354177". Lineage: Eukaryota; Metazoa; Chordata; Mammalia; Primates; Hominidae. The record is from RNAcentral.